This 429-nucleotide ribosomal RNA is filed under the name Actinomycetes bacterium. RNAcentral describes it as "Actinobacteria bacterium partial 16S ribosomal RNA". It matches the Rfam family "Bacterial small subunit ribosomal RNA", at positions 355 to 776 of the family's 1533-position model. Lineage: Bacteria; Bacillati; Actinomycetota; Actinomycetes. The record is from RNAcentral.
UAGGGAAUCUUCCGCAAUGGGCGAAAGCCUGACGGAGCAACGCCGCGUGAGUGAUGAAGGUCUUCGGAUCGUAAAACUCUGUUAUUAGGGAAGAACAAAUGUGUAAGUAACUAUGCACGUCUUGACGGUACCUAAUCAGAAAGCCACGGCUAACUACGUGCCAGCAGCCGCGGUAAUACGUAGGUGGCAAGCGUUAUCCGGAAUUAUUGGGCGUAAAGCGCGCGUAGGCGGUUUUUUAAGGCUGAUGUGAAAGCCCACGGCUCAACCGUGGAGGGUCAUUGGAAACUGGAAAACUUGAGUGCAGAAGAGGAAAGUGGAAUUCCAGGUGUAGCGGUGAAAUGCGCAGAGAUAUGGAGGAACACCAGUGGCGAAGGCGACUUUCUGGUCUGUAACUGACGCUGAUGUGCGAAAGCGUGGGGAUCAAACAGG